Molecule: ribosomal RNA, 458 nt
Filed under: uncultured bacterium
Lineage: Bacteria
Description: partial 16S ribosomal RNA
Rfam family: Bacterial small subunit ribosomal RNA
Source: RNAcentral
CCUACGGGAGGCAGCAGUGAGGAAUAUUUGUCAAUGGGCGAGAGCCUGAACCAGCCAAGUCGCGUGAGGGAGUACUGCCCUAUGGGUUGUAAACCUCUUUUGUCGGGGAGCAAAAGCCGGACGUGUCCGGCUGUGAGAGUACCCGAAGAAAAAGCAUCGGCUAACUCCGUGCCAGCAGCAGCGGUAAUACGGAGGAUGCGAGCGUUAUCCGGAUUCAUUGGGUUUAAAGGGUGCGCAGGCGGGCCUUUAAGCCGGCGGGGAAAUCGCGGGGCUCAACCCCGCCGAGCCGUCGGAACUGGGGGCUUUGAGGGCGGCGGAGGCAUGCGGAAUGCGCGGUGUAGCGGUGAAAUGCAUAGAUAUCGCGCAGAACCCCGAGUGCGAAGGCAGCGUGCCGUGCCGCCACUGACGCUGAGGCACGAAAGCGCGGGGAUCGAACAGGAUUAGAUACCCGAGUAGUC